CUAUCUCCAUUCCUCCCUGUUCCAUCUUGGCUGUGCUACUGAGCAGACAUGGGCUAAUUUUUAUCAUGAUGAACUGUAAGUGGGAUGUGAUGACUUUAUAAGGUUUAGUUGUUAUUGUUUUAGUUAGGUAGAUUGUGUGUUAUUAUUUGUAUGUUGUUGUUUUGUCUCUGAAUAAAUAUUUGUUAAAGUAGAUGGAGCAGAGUUUAUGUGUAUGCG
Pelobates cultripes (western spadefoot toad) is the source of this 216-nucleotide non-coding RNA. The record is from the annotation of a GenBank genome assembly. NCBI's taxonomy places the organism in Eukaryota, Metazoa, Chordata, Amphibia, Anura, Pelobatidae.